Molecule: ribosomal RNA, 372 nt
Filed under: uncultured bacterium
Lineage: Bacteria
Description: bacterial SSU rRNA
Rfam family: Bacterial small subunit ribosomal RNA
Source: RNAcentral
AUACGUAGGGGGCAAGCGUUAUCCGGAAUUACUGGGCGUAAAGGGUGCGUAGGCGGUUUAUCAAGUCAGGGGUGAAAGGCUACGGCUCAACCGUAGUGAGCCUCUGAAACUGGUGAACUUGAGUGUAGGAGAGGAAAGUGGAAUUCCCAGUGUAGCGGUGAAAUGCGUAGAUAUUGGGAGGAACACCAGUGGCGAAGGCGACUUUCUGGACUACAACUGACGCUGAGGCACGAAAGCGUGGGGAGCAAACAGGAUUAGAUACCCUGGUAGUCCACGCUGUAAACGAUGAGUACUAGGUGUCGGCUGUCGAAGGUCGGUGCCGGCGUUAACACAUUAAGUACUCCGCCUGGGGAGUACGCUCGCAAGAGUGAA